RNAcentral lists this ribosomal RNA (494 nucleotides) under uncultured bacterium. RNAcentral describes it as "bacterial SSU rRNA". It matches the Rfam family "Bacterial small subunit ribosomal RNA", at positions 23 to 518 of the family's 1533-position model. The record is from RNAcentral.
CGCAGGACGAACGCUGGCGGCAUGCCUAACACAUGCAAGUCGAACGGAAUAGGUUGGUUGUAGCGAUACUUUCGGACCUAUUUAGUGGCGAACGGGUGAGUAACACGUGAGCAACCUGCCUUCACACAGGGAUAACAGCCGGAAACGGCUGCUAAUACCGGAUAAGACCACACCGAGGCAUCUCGGAGGGGUCAAAGCGCUUUAGCGGUAGAAGAUGGGCUCGCGUCCCAUUAGCUAGUUGGUGAGAUAACAGCCCACCAAGGCGACGAUGGGUAGCCGACUUGAGAGAGUGAUCGGCCACAUUGGAACUGAGACACGGUCCAGACUCCUUCGGGAGGCAGCAGUGGGGAAUAUUGGGCAAUGGAGGAAACUCUUACCCAGCCAAUGCCGCGUGGAUGAGGAAGGCCUUCGGGUUGUAAAGUCCUUUUAUUGAUGAUAAAGAAAGUGAUAUUAGUCAAUGAAUAAGCCCCGGCUAACUACGUGCCAGCCGCAGC